GAUGAACGCUGGCGGCGUGCCUAAUACAUGCAAGUCGAGCGAACAGAUGAGGAGCUUGCUCCUCUGACGUUAGCGGCGGACGGGUGAGUAACACGUGGAUAACCUACCUAUAAGACUGGGAUAACUUCGGGAAACCGGAGCUAAUACCGGAUAAUAUAUUGAACCGCAUGGUUCAAUAGUGAAAGACGGUUUUGCUGUCACUUAUAGAUGGAUCCGCGCCGCAUUAGCAAGUUGGUAAGGUAACGGCUUACCAAGGCGACGAUGCGUAGCCGACCUGAGAGGGUGAUCGGCCACACUGGAACUGAGACACGGUCCAGACUCCUACGGGAGGCAGCAGUAGGGAAUCUUCCGCAAUGGGCGAAAGCCUGACGGAGCAACGCCGCGUGAGUGAUGAAGGUCUUCGGAUCGUAAAACUCUGUUAUUAGGGAAGAACAAAUGUGUAAGUAACUAUGCACGUCUUGACGGUACCUAAUCAGAAAGCCACGGCUAACUACGUG
RNAcentral lists this ribosomal RNA (497 nucleotides) under uncultured bacterium. RNAcentral describes it as "partial 16S ribosomal RNA". It matches the Rfam family "Bacterial small subunit ribosomal RNA", at positions 28 to 507 of the family's 1533-position model. The record is from RNAcentral.